Long non-coding RNA from Passer domesticus (house sparrow), 3231 nucleotides. RefSeq lists it as uncharacterized. The transcript has 3 exons. Lineage: Eukaryota; Metazoa; Chordata; Aves; Passeriformes; Passeridae. The record is from RefSeq and is a predicted model, not a curated record.
UGCUGGAGGAGAUGGGAAAAGACACCCUGGGAACAGGUGUUAGUGUUAGCUGCUCUUUAGAGGUGCUAAUGAAGACUCCCUCAAAGGAACGGGAUCACAGGGAAUCCUGAGGAUCUGAUAAAUUUCCGGGAUGUGGCUGUGUCAAUCUGACAUGCCUCCAUCAAGGAGAUGUUAUCACUCCUUGAGUCAGCCCUGCAAACAGCUCCGCUAAAUUUCCCUGAGCUAAUUGCUCUUUAAUAGUUUGUUGUGUGAGCACUCGCUAAUUACAAGUCAGGCAGCUUUGUGAAAACACAUCUGAAAUAUUCCUAAAGGGCCAUUCUGGGGCAAUGAUAGUGUUUGGAGGUCGAUGAGAAGCAAAUUCCUGAUGAAGUAUUGAAAGCUGGAAGAGGAAACAUUGAAUAUUGGAAGAGGAAAUAUUGAAUGCUGGAAGCUGAAGGAGAUACAGUGCUGGCUUUCAGAGAACAUCAGAGCUCAUUUUCUGCAGUGGUGGUGGUGCAGCUGUGGGGUCUGGACUGCUGAGAUUCAAGAUCAGGAUACCAAAGUUUCCUCCUGAGGAAGCACCUCCUGGAACUGAUGAAGGUUUCCUCCUCAUUAACUUCUCCUAUCCCACCAUCUCCCUUCCACGACACGGUGGAGCAGAUCCCAAAUGACAUCCAAGAACUGAACACACACACACGAGCUGGAUUUUCCCUAUUCCUUUCUCAACCUUCCCCAGUUUUCCACUUGCUGAGGGCUGAGCUGACCUGCCCAUGGAUCUGCUGAAAAGAACUUCAGGGUCUCAUUCCCGAGUGGUGCCAGCCCUCUCUGAGCUCAGGGAUGCACAGUGUGGAAAAGGUUUGGUGUCACUCUGUGCUUGUUUUGCCAUAGAAGGAGAGCACCAGGGAUGAGCAUCAAGAAGAGCAUCUUUCUUCUGCAGAGCAUCCCAGGUGUUUUCCACAUCCUUCUGCCUGUCUUCCAAAAGUGAACACAGACGCUGGCCACCAUCCAGAUGGAGAAAUCAGCCACCUUCACCCUGGAGACAGCUGUCCACUGGCUCACGGCUCCCAUAGGAGAGCAAACCUGCAGGAGAAGCCCCUGGGAUGGCAGGAAAAGGAGCACAAUCCCCAUUCUGGUGCAGCUGUCCUGCAGCUGGGUGCAACUGGAGCCCCACUGGGAAUGGCCCUGCAGGUGUCCUGCUCCCUUUCUCAACACAGUGGUUCCCUUCCCUCAGUGCUCACUGCUGCAGCUGGAAUUUCAAUUCUGCAGGGUUUUAAGCUGGAAAAGCAUCAGUGUCCUCCAUCCUCUCCUGUCUAACCCAGGUAGGUGUUUGUUAAUACUCCACACAGGGAUUCAGCUCUUCAGGAAAAGCUGCUGUACCAGUGUAUCCAAGGGAUCUCUCCACAGCCAGAUGGGAACAGCUGCAGCACAAGGAAGCAAUUUUAACUAUGACCCAGGAGUCAGGAUUCCCACCUUCUCCGUGCACCAGUGCCUAGGGAUGUGUCCGUAAAAUUCCACUGUUAAGAGAAAGCUCUUCCCUGGGAUUGCCUCUGGCUUUGGGAGGAGCUGGGAUGGCUCAGCCUCAGUUCCUUACUGGACUGGCUGAACUCUGCUGCUCCUGGGGUGCCAAAUCUGCUUUUGGGUCUCAACCUGCCCGCUGGGAUAUUGAGGAGAAAUUCCAGAAACUCCAUGCUGGCCCUGGAGAAGAAAAGGCUCCUUCUCAACAAGCCCUCCUCAGUUUGAAGCUGUUUCACACUGUGGGGCACAGGCUGAAACAAGGAGAGUUUUAAGGUGCUUUCCUGCCCAAACCAUUCAAGGAUUCCAUUAUUUCAUGGCUCUGGUAUUCCAUGAUUUCAUAAUACUGUGAUUCCACAAUUCCAUGAUUCUAUGAUGUAAUGAUUCCCUGAUUCUAUGAUUCCCUGAUUUCAUGAUUCCAUAAUUCUAUCACUCCAUUAUCCCAUGAUUCUGUGGUUCCAUGAUUCCAUUACUCCGUGAUUUCAUGAUUCCAUGAUUUCAUGAUUCCAUGAUUCCAUGAUUUAGUGAGCUGCAUUUUACAUUUCUCUUGAACCCAGGGACUGUUUGGCUCAGUGGGUUUUUACAUUUUGGAGAAUUGUGCCAUUUUCCUGCAUUUUAAGGGCUCAUGGGAAUUACACUGGCAACAACCGGAAAAACCUGACACCAUUUGAGUUUUUUAUCUCCACCUGAGUUUUUUGUCUCCUUCCCCAUGGAAAUUUGGCUCAUUGGAAUGGAUAACACAGCUCAUUGAUGUGAACUCAUCCCCUUGUCACAUUGUGUUAUUUUAUACCAACCCCUGAACCACCCCUUUGGUCCCAAAGCCUCAAAGUUCACCAGAUUCCAGGACAAUCCCACUUCCCAAAUGUGCAGUUUAAUACUUUGGACUGCACAUCCAAUUUCCCACUGGAAAUAAAAGGGAAAACCAACUUGUUUAUCAAAGUUUCAUUUUGGCACAGCGUUAUCUUCGACUGCUCCACACAAGUUCCAGUUUCUGCCUCAAAUUCAGCGUGGGAGGGCUGAGACUCCCCAGAAUCCCACAGCAGGCUGGGAGCACAGCUGCAGCUGAGCUCCAGAUGUGCUCCUGCUAAGUCAGAAUGGCUGCAAGCAGAGAAGAACAAAGAGGGCGGGAUUGGGAGGGAAUUUUUUUGUUGGGUGUUAAGAAAGUGGAAAAUGGAUAUUAUGGAUAUAAAAGGCAAACAUAAAAUCAUGGAAUCAGGAGUGAAUGGUGAGUUAAUAAGUUGAGUUUGCAUUUUCGGUGUGUGAGCAAGGAAAUAAUGGAUUGGGUUUAGGAGGGGGGCUGUCUUUAUGCCUUUUAUUACUGAGGCUGCUUCCCUGCCUGGCAAUCCUUCUGAGAACUCCUGACUUCAUCCCCAGCUCCACAGGCACACGAAAACAAAGGAAAGAUGGAGGAAAUGUCAGCCAAGCAGUAGGAAAAAGCACCCAAAUAGAAAAACAAAGCAGCUGAGUGCUUUCCAGGGAGAAUGGAGCAGGUCUUCCCAUGUGGGAGCCCAUGGCCAAGGCUCAGGUAGGAAUUAACACAAAUCCAGGUGUCUGCAUUGUCUGGGUUAUCUGCAAUUGUUGAAAACACAUCUCAGCAAUGCAUUGGACUCCAAAGCCUGGCUCUAAGCAGAAUCCAAGGCACAAUGGUCACCCCCCUAGGCAAAAGGAGAGGGGCACAAAACCAAAUCUGAAAACACAAAACAUUUCCUUUCCCCCAGCAACCAGCGUUUCCUGGUAAAA